This 731-nucleotide ribosomal RNA is filed under the name uncultured Bacteroidota bacterium. RNAcentral's name for it is "bacterial SSU rRNA". It matches the Rfam family "Bacterial small subunit ribosomal RNA", at positions 26 to 871 of the family's 1533-position model. Lineage: Bacteria; Pseudomonadati; Bacteroidota. The record is from RNAcentral.
AGGGUGAACGCUGGCGGCGUGCUUAAGACAUGCAAGUCGAACGAGUGGCGAAUGGGUGCGUAACACGUAGGGACCUACCCUGAGUGUGGAAUAACAGUCCGAAAGGACUGCUAAUACCGCAUGGGAGGGGCCUGCGGCCCAUCAGCUAGUUGGUGAGGUAAUGGCUCACCAAGGCUACGACGGGUCGGGGACCUGAGAGGGUGGCCCCCCACACUGGCACUGAAACACGGGCCAGACUCCUACGGGAGGCAGCAGUCGGGAAUAUUGGUCAAUGGACGAAAGUCUGAACCAGCAACGCCGCGUGAGUGAUGAAGGCCUUCGGGUCGUAAAGCUCUUUUUAGGGGGAGGACAGUACUCCUAGAAUAAGUCACGGCUAACUACGUGCCAGCAGCCGCGGUAAAACGUAGGUGACGAGCGUUAUCCGGAUUUACUGGGCGUAAAGCGUGUGUAGGCGGUUCAACAAGUCGGGCAUUAAAUCUUUCGGCCUAACCGAGAGACGCUGUCCGAUACUGUUGGGCUUGAAGUAGGCAGAGGACGGUGGAAUUCCGCGUGUAGUGGUGAAAUGCGUAGAUAUGCGGAGGAACACCAGUGGCGAAGGCGGCCGUCUGGGCCUUACUUGACGCUGAGACACGAAAGCUAGGGUAGCGAACGGGAUUAGAGACCCCGGUAGUCCUAGCCGUAAACGAUGUUGACUGGGUGUCAGUGCCGGAGCAAACGCGAUAAGUCAACCG